GUGACUUGUGCUGAGGUGGGACCUGUCAGCACGGGGUGAGUCCUGAGCUGGGGAGCAGGGAGGGCACUGCAGCCGUGGCUUAAAUUCAAGGUGAGCUAAGGGGCUGUGACACUGGCGCCAGAGGCAACUACCAGAUAGCAUAGAGGAAUGUUCGACUUUACAAACUAAUGCCCAUCUGUGUUUGCAAGUGGUCGUGCCGCCUUACAUGCCCAUCAGCAGUGGACGAGGAACCCGAUGGAUUUCUUGUCCUAUCUUACACAUGGUAUUUGCAAGCUUCUUAGUGACCACUUUCUGACUCUUGGUAGCUUCUCUCUCUCUCCUUUCUUUCUUUCUUUCUAUAAUAAACGUGUGUCUGUGUAGGGGUUUUCUUUGUCUUGUUUUUUGCCUAUAUUUCUUUUAAAUUCAGAAGCAGAAAUAAAUCUUUUAUUUUUGUCAAGGAGUAGUUUAUCUGUGGAGAGUGUCAGCUGCGACAGGGGGCUUGGGUUAAAGACUAAGAAAAGGCACACGGUGAGGCCCCAGGCUGUUGGUGACUCCAGGGGGAGUCGCUGGGUUGGGGGUGAGCUGAUCAAAGCUCAGAGGGAUGAGGGGUGGAGACGACAGAUUGACUGGAACCAAGCGAGAGGUUUGAUACCAAAAGGAAGGAGAGGAUUGCAAGGUCAAGUGGGGAGGAUUCCCAGAAAGGGAGCAUUGAGUUUAUAGCCAAAUGAGAAGGAGCCAGGGAGAAGGUGAUGGAGACGUGGCAGCGAGGGGCUGGCUCAGCGUUGAGAGCAACGUGGGCAUCACUGUUCUCUCUUCUUAUGCAAAGGCACUGACUUUGGAGCCAGACAGAUGUGGGUUCAGAUCCCAGGGCUGCCACUAAUGAGGUGUAAGAGAGGGUGACAACAUGCCCCGCAGAGUGGCUGUGAGGGCCAAGGAGCACCUAGACCAGUGGGUACUCAACCCUCGGUGCUUCUUUCCCUCCCUUCCUCCCCCAGUCUGUGGGCCGAGGCCCAGUCUAGGUUCAGAAGCCGGGAGGUUUCGUGCCAGUGACACUUUGCUGAGUGGGGUGCGGGGCCGGGAAUUCCAUGAGUCUGAGGGAGGGAGGAAGGGGCCCAGAUGGGGAGACUCAAAGGGGCUCCUGAGAAUCAGGGAGGGCUGAGGGUGCCAGUGGCAGAGGCCGAGGAGCUGCAGGUGUGGCAGGGAAAUUGCCGUUGAUUAGGGGCUUGGAGCUAGGCCUCACUGGCUGGGCAUAGCCAAGAGAGUAGAUAUGGAGUCCUGACGGAAAAGGGCUCUGUCCUGCCUGGCCCAAGAGGAGCAGCUCCACGCUCAGCCUCUAGCCUGCCAGCCCCAGCCUCUAGCCAGCCUGCGUGGCCCCUGCCCGGUUGGUUUCUGCCUCCUUCAUCCCCAUCCCAGUGUCCUGGGGUCCACCCACCGAGUCUCCCCAGCCAGAAGCCUGGCAGUUAGCCUUGUCUGGGCCCUCUCAUCAGCCGUCGAGUCUGUGGACUCCACCUCUCUCUCUGCUUUUUCCCCCCAGGGCUGGGGGCCCUUCCUGGGGCACCAGGCAGCUCUCAUCCGGUGGGAUUCUCAUCAGCAGACCACACAGGAGGGUGGGCCUUCCCGUGCUCUUUCCCUCUGGCUGCCACACUGGAUUCAGCUCUGGGGAAGCUCUCAGUCCUACUUCCUGAGGUGGACUGAGUUCUGUAAAUUGGCUUCUCCCGCUGCUGGGGAGAGGUAGGGAGGACAAAAUUUUGUUCUCCUUGAAUGCCUUUGAGCACAUUCUUCAACUCAGUUUUACAAGCUGUGGAAGCGAGGGAAAGAGGGGGCUGAUGUGGGCCACAGUGAGCAGCUGGGAGGUGACCCUCCCGGAGAGAGAACAGAAAGUCGCUGGGAACUGCACUUCCCCAGAGUCGCCCCCUGACGCUGCCGUCCGUGUCUGCUCAGCCCCUACCAGCCAGCAGUGGGCGCUGUUGCUGUGCACUGGGCACCCCAAGCCCCAGGGCCCCUUGGCAGAAGGCAGUGGGGCUGCUCGGCCAGAGGUCACCACCGCUGUCCACAGCUCGACCGAGCCCGGCUGGGACAUGCCUCCGGCUCAUCGUCACUCUGCCUCCCCAUUUCUCUGAUCUGCUGAAAGACGUGUUCAAGGUUGUUGACCUCAUGAAUUGGAAAACCAGAAGCGGGGGGAAACCCUCUGGGCCCCAGGCAAGAGGCUCCAGAACACAGGGCAUGCAGCUCCACAUCCUGAGGCUCAGUCUUUGCCUAAGGAUGGACACGGCUGCACCUGAGGGCCACCGACAGGACCCUGCUAAGGCUGCCAGUUGCCGCUACCCCUCCGACUCCAGCCCCUGAGACCUCCUCUAGACACUGUUACUCCUCUGCAUUCGAGGCCAUGCCUGCUGCCACCGGCCACUGCAGACCCUGUCGCUGCAGGUCCCGGUCAAAUUUGCGGGCACUGCUGGGCCGCUGAACGUGGCCGCACCUCUAAGUCUUGGGCUGCAACCGAAGUGACUGCAUUUCCUGUGCCUCUGAGCUCCUAGCAGCUGAGGCGACAGCCAGAUGCGCCAGGGCUGCUGAUCCCCAUCCCGCAGGGACGUGGACACACUGCCAGGAGCAAACUGGAGCUGUGGCUGCUGCAGGUGGAUAUCCCUGUGCUUACAAAAAAUGGACUUUUUCCAAGGCUGCCAGGGGCUGCUGGCGCCCUGACCAAGGCUGCUGAUGGGCCCCCAUCCUUCUCAACGUGACGUAUCGAUGUCGAUGUUGACCUUGAUCUCCUGACUGAGGUCGUGUUUGCUAGGAGAAAUCACAACAUCUCUAUUUGUUUGCUGAUGGGAAUAAUCCAGUGCAUCAUCGUGAGACAGGUCACUGGCUGAGACUGAGGCGGGAAGAAGGUGUUUGGCGGUUGAGAAGAGAGCAGAAUGGAUGAAAUAGCCGCUUAAAAGCAGACAUAUUUUGAUCAGACUGUUGAGCCAGACAACUCCACCGGCACUUAACAUUCCAGUCCAGAGGCAGCCAGCGCACACUUGCAGAAGAUUCCACGCCUUUAGACUCUGGCAAGAAGCGAGAGCAUGGUGUUUUCGAGGUUCAUCCACAUUGUGCCCCCCGGUACAUAGUUGUAUAUUCUUCGUUGUGAGUCCUUCUAGUUGUGGCAUGUGGGACGCCGCCUCAGCGUGGUUUGAUGAGCAGUGCCAUGUCCGCGCCCAGGAUUCGAACCAACGAAACACUGGGCCGCCUGCAGCGGAGCGCGCGAACUCAACCACUCGGCCACGGGGCCAGCCCCUUACUUUCGCAUCUUUAACAUAAAAGAAAAUAUCAGCCAACCUUUAUGUUGAAUUUGUCAAUUGCAGCCAUAGGUUAGCUAGGAUAUAAGAGUUUGGCAAAAACCAACAGAAGCAUUCUGUGAGAAUCAAUUGGCUCUAUGGAAUUUACAAUAAAGAUUAAUGCAUAUUUU
RNAcentral lists this long non-coding RNA (3424 nucleotides) under Equus asinus (donkey). RNAcentral's name for it is "lncRNA (ENSEASG00005037368.1)". The record is from RNAcentral. Lineage: Eukaryota; Metazoa; Chordata; Mammalia; Perissodactyla; Equidae.